RNAcentral lists this ribosomal RNA (492 nucleotides) under uncultured bacterium. Its description in RNAcentral is "partial 16S ribosomal RNA". It matches the Rfam family "Bacterial small subunit ribosomal RNA", at positions 29 to 507 of the family's 1533-position model. The record is from RNAcentral.
AGUGAACGCUGGCUGUAGGCCUAACACAUGCAAGUCGAACGGCAGCACAGUAAGAGCUUGCUCUUACGGGUGGCGAGUGGCGGACGGGUGCGGAAUACAUCGGAAUCUACUUUUUCGUGGGGGAUAACGUAGGGAAACUUACGCUAAUACCGCAUACGACCUACGGGUGAAAGCAGGGGAUCUUCGGACCUUGCGCGAUUGAAUGAGCCGAUGUCGGAUUAGCUAGUUGGCGGGGUAAAGGCCCACCAAGGCGACGAUCCGUAGCUGGUCUGAGAGGAUGAUCAGCCACACUGGAACUGAGACACGGUCCAGACUCCUACGGGAGGCAGCAGUGGGGAAUAUUGGACAAUGGGCGCAAGCCUGAUCCAGCCAUACCGCGUGGGUGAAGAAGGCCUUCGGGUUGUGAAGCCCUUUUGUUGGGAAAGAAAAGCAGCAGGUUAAUACCCCGCUGUUCUGACGGUACCCAAAGAAUAAGCACCGGCUAACUUCGUG